This is a non-coding RNA of Trametes punicea, 86 nucleotides long. Lineage: Eukaryota; Fungi; Basidiomycota; Agaricomycetes; Polyporales; Polyporaceae. The record is from the annotation of a GenBank genome assembly.
GGCCUGGUGGUCUAGUAGUAUGAUUCCUUCUUAGGGCUAUAAAGCAUACCUGGAGGAGGUCCCGGGUUCAAUUCCCGGCCAGGCCC